RNAcentral lists this ribosomal RNA (23 nucleotides) under Ampelomyces sp. B55. RNAcentral's name for it is "partial 18S ribosomal RNA". Lineage: Eukaryota; Fungi; Ascomycota; Dothideomycetes; Pleosporales; Phaeosphaeriaceae. The record is from RNAcentral.
CCUGCGGAAGGAUCCAUUACAUU